GGCAACCAGUUGGGGGUCCACUGCCGCAGUGUGGGAGGUUUGUUCUUUCGCUCUUUGCAAUAAAUCUUGUUACUGCUCACCCUGGGUCCACACUGCUUUUGUGAGUUGUAACACUCACUGGGAAGGUCUGCAGCUUCACUCCUCAAGCCCGGGAGACCGCGAGCCCACCGGGAGAAACGAACAACUCUAGACGCGCCGCCUUAAAAGCGGUAACAUUCACUGCGAAGGUCUGCAGCUUUACUCCUGAGCCAGCGAGACCACGAGCCCACCAGAAGGAAGAAACCCCGAAUACGUCUGAACGUCAGAAGGAACAAACUCCAGAAGCGCCACCUCAAGAGCUGUAACACUCACCGCGAGGGUCCGCGGCUUCAGUCUUGAAGUCAGUGAGACCAAGAACCCACCAAUUCGGGACACAAUACCUAUAAUCCCAGUACUUUAGGAGGCCAGGGCAGGCGGAUCAUCUGAGCUCAGGGGUUGGAGAGGAGCCUGAACAACAUACCGAAACCCCGUCUCUACAAAAAAUACAAAAAUUAACCGGUUGUGGUGGCCGGUGCCGGUAGUUCCAGCUAGUGGGGGACUGCGGAGGUGGGAGCUGAAGCGGGAGGAUCGCUUGAGCCUGGAGGUUGAGGCUGCAGUAAACAGGGAUUGCGUCAGGACACUCCAACCUGGGGAACAGAACGAUGCCCUAAAAGGCUGGCUGAGCUGACUGGAGUCCAAUCUCCUGACUCUCAAUCCUCCACCAUGCCGGAAUCCACUUGCAUUUCUGGCAAGAAGGUUGUUUACGCUCAAGGUCUACAGGGAUGGAAGUGGCACCCAGUGAGAGGGCUCUGCCGAUGGAGCUGUGAAGGCGUCGACCUCAU
Molecule: long non-coding RNA, 860 nt
Filed under: Homo sapiens (human)
Lineage: Eukaryota; Metazoa; Chordata; Mammalia; Primates; Hominidae
Description: non-protein coding LINC02204:19
Source: RNAcentral